Molecule: RNA transcript, 1482 nt
Organism: Megalopta genalis
Lineage: Eukaryota; Metazoa; Arthropoda; Insecta; Hymenoptera; Halictidae
Source: RefSeq, a predicted model, not a curated record
GCGGUAAUGUUUAUGUACGGUCAAGAACGAUCGACGCGUCGUCGUGGAUUCCUCAUAACAAACAGCUGACGUUGCCGUGCUUGCGACGUACAUUUGAAUUCGUUGUAUACGCAGCACGGGUCCAGACAUGUUCGCCGCCUAGACGCUCCGCCUUGGUGCCAGGUGUGGACCUGGCUUAACGUAUCUCCGGUGUCCAUGAGGCACACGAGGUUAAUAUGGCCGCCAGUUCUCGACGCGUACGGAACCAGUUCCAGGAUGAAACCGGUUUGGAACUAGUUUCCAUUGGUUUUUCGGCCCCCUGCGAGACCGUGCCACGACCGAGAUUGGCACUCGUGCCGGACUACUCUCGACGGUUGGAACGGAGGUUACGUUACCAGGGCACGCUAAUAUGGCCGAUAUUACAGAGCAAAAAGGUGACAACAAGCUCGACGGGCAAAUGGAGAUCAAGGUCGAGCCGACGAUGCAGUGUUACGUCGAGGAGGAGCACGAGAACGGUUUCCCCGGUUUCGAGAACAACGGGGCGAUACCGUCGAGCGCGGACGUCGGCGCUCUGAACCUGUGGACCAGCAAAGCGACCACGUGCUUGAUCAGCCAGUACAAGAAAUACCGGUCGAUGGUCGGCCAGUCGACGCAGAUCAGGAGCUUGAGGGAGAUGUUCGAGAUGAUCUCCAUCGAGAUGCAGAACUACGGGUUCUACUUCAGCCCGCAGAAGUGCGAGAACAAGUGGCGUGUGCUCGAGCGUAAGUACAAGAACUUGGUGUUCCGGGAACGGCUGAAGAAGCCGGGCAGAAUGCGGCAUUACGGCCACUGGGAGCACAAGCGUGCCCUGGACGAGAUUUUCAACGAGAAAAGGCGACACAUGUACCUGGAGGAGGGCGAGUUCCCGUCGCCGGCCGGCGGCUCCGCGAAAUCGUACACGUACAUAUUACCGAAACCGGCGUCGGAGGAGCAGCAGCAGGGCAGCACCGACCAGCCGAAACAGGACGAUCCUCUGGCGGCGCCGACUUCGAACUGCGUCCCGAAUAGCAAGAACGAGCUGUCGGACCAGAAGGGACCGUUGGUCGCGUUCUUCGACAGAUUUUUGAACGAGAUGACCAAGAACUUCGCCGUCGCCGAGAAGAACCGCGAGAAAAGGCACAAAGAGGAGAUGAGCAUGCGACAGAGCGAGCUCGAGGUGCAGAAAAGACUGUUGAAGCUGAAGGAGCAGAAGCUCGAGCUGCAAAAGUGUCAGAUCAUCGCUGCCGCUCAACACUUGCAUUUGAACAUGUGAAGACGACGCUAUGGACGUUGUUUACCGAAUGAUUUUGUUUACCAAAAGGUGUAUUUUUAAGAAGCGCAGCGUGUUCUUUCGUUUCUCUCUCGAAGCGAGCGGGAUGGAGAAGAUAUUAGGAGAUCCUGUGGACAAGUAACGGGACACAUUUCGGUGGCUUUGAAAUAUUUUAUUUUUAUAUCAUUAAUAUAAUUAUUAUUAAUUAUAUUAUA